RNAcentral lists this ribosomal RNA (253 nucleotides) under uncultured bacterium. RNAcentral's name for it is "partial 16S ribosomal RNA". It matches the Rfam family "Bacterial small subunit ribosomal RNA", at positions 524 to 776 of the family's 1533-position model. The record is from RNAcentral.
UACGUAGGGUGCAAGCGUUAAUCGGAAUUACUGGGCGUAAAGCGUGCGCAGGCGGCUUUGCAAGACAGAUGUGAAAUCCCCGGGCUUAACCUGGGAACUGCAUUUGUGACUGCAUGGCUGGAGUGCGGCAGAGGGGGAUGGAAUUCCGCGUGUAGCAGUGAAAUGCGUAGAUAUGCGGAGGAACGCCGAUGGCGAAGGCAAUCCCCUGGGCCUGCACUGACGCUCAUGCACGAAAGCGUGGGGAGCAAACGGG